GCCGGGGUGCCCGAGCGGACCAAGGGGGUGGGCUCGAGACCAUUCCAGCGAGACGAGCGACCCACUGUCCUCCAAGGACACACGGGUUCAAAUCCCGUCCCCGGCG
This 106-nucleotide transfer RNA is filed under the name Candidatus Acidianus copahuensis. It matches the Rfam family "tRNA". Rfam says of the family: Transfer RNA (tRNA) molecules are approximately 80 nucleotides in length. Their secondary structure includes four short double-helical elements and three loops (D, anti-codon, and T loops). Lineage: Archaea; Thermoproteati; Thermoproteota; Thermoprotei; Sulfolobales; Sulfolobaceae. The record is from Rfam by way of RNAcentral.